GAAGAAGAAAGAUUAAACAGAUAUGUCGAGAAGGUGCGUUUUAGGUUGUAGUAGUCUUUCUGACACCCUUUUCCCAUUCCCCAAAAUACCUUGGUUGCGGUCCCGAUGGCUCGAAUUUUUGCAUUUCGAGGAAGGAGCGAUAUCAGAGAGGUCGCGGUUGUGCUCAAAACACUUCCCCCGUGAAUGCUUCAAGAACUGGACACAACACGAAAUGGGAUUUGUGAAAUAUCUGGCAUUAACAGAUACAGCUGUCCCUUCAGUGUACACCGUUGGUACCUCACAAAGUUCACAGCCCCUGACAAGAGAUGUAGCCUGUCAAUGCAAUCCACCAUCUUUAAAGAGUGUGUCUAUCCAGACAGUACAACAAAACCCGAAAAGAUUGAGUCAAGGGACUCAGGUGUUACCCUGGGAGCACUCCGGCAUAUCUUGGUCCAGUAAUCAUGACACUUCAUGUUUUUCAUCAACACCAGUUAAAAGGCCAUGCAUAGAGGACACCACAUCCGACGACAGCUCAAGGGGCACAUCACAGGAAUUGUCAGAUGACAUGUAUGAGACAGUAAUAAUUUAAAAGAGCAGUAAAAAGUUGCUACUUGCUGCUCUCUACUACAGUCAUGUAUAUGGAUGCUACUAGUUGGGUGAACAAAGUCAGAAGGCCAAAAUGCAAAAUGAUGAACAUUUUCUGCUUUCAUGUAAAACGUCACCAUCAUGCAACUACGUAGAGAUACUGAGGCUGCUUAUCGAGGAGGUGGUCUUCAGUCCUGGCCCAGACUAACAGCUGAUCAUUGAACAGAAGGUUCCAGAGCACUGCUGCUUUUGACAGGACCGACCUACAGGCGGCAAUAGUAUUAGAUUUUAUUUAGUGAUAUAACUUUUAAGAGUGAGUGAUAUUGUUUGUAUUUAUCGGUCUCAUUAAAGUGACACACGCCCACUGUAAAGGGGGUUUAAAUUCAGCAAACAGGUCAUCAAGCACGAUUCACUGUGAAUAGAUGGCCAGUUAUUUGAGACGAUAUUAUAAAAAAAUAAGAAUACUGUAACAGUGAAAAGGUUUUCCUGGAAUAACAAAACACCCGAUGGAGUGCAGGAUGGACUACAUCAUCAUCUUACUUUACUCAUACAUAAGUUAUGGGGUAAUUUUUUUCCCUAGUGAAUAUGCCUUAACACCAUUUUUUAUUAAAUACCAGACCCAUUUAAAAAGGUUUAAAAAAUAAAUCCUUAUCAGCAAGACCAAAC
Long non-coding RNA from Triplophysa dalaica, 1230 nucleotides. RefSeq lists it as uncharacterized. Lineage: Eukaryota; Metazoa; Chordata; Actinopteri; Cypriniformes; Nemacheilidae. The record is from RefSeq and is a predicted model, not a curated record. The transcript has 5 exons.